Long non-coding RNA from Pseudopipra pipra, 2322 nucleotides. RefSeq lists it as uncharacterized. The transcript is spliced from 3 exons. The record is from RefSeq and is a predicted model, not a curated record. Lineage: Eukaryota; Metazoa; Chordata; Aves; Passeriformes; Pipridae.
GCCACCCCGGGGAGCUGCACACUCCACAGCAGCUGAUCCCACGGGAAGAGCUGGCUCCAGACUGGGAGCCUGCAGCUCUCCUCUGCUCCAGGGCUCCUCUCCCUGGCACACAAAGCCUCCUCAUCCUCUCUGGGCAGGUAAGCCAUGCUCAGGGCACGUUCCUGGGCCCCUCAUCCCCCUGCCCGCCGGUGCAGAGGUUGUGUGGAGCUGGCUGGGAAUGCUGUGCUGCUCGGGCAGGGCACAGGGGGCUGGAUGGCAGCGGGAGGUUGUGCUGGGCGAGCAGAAUCCCAGUUCCUGAAGCGUGGUGCAGGAGAGCAGAUUAACAGAGCAGCCAAGCAAGCAGCAGUGGAGAGUAUAAAGUUCAGGGUGGGAUGAAGUGACAAAACAAAUGGCAUUACAGAGGAGUCCCAUGACAACAGGACUCACAGUAACACACAAACAGGAAGGGAAAAGGAGGGAAGGAGAGCAGAGUGAAAUUUAACCCUGCGGUUAUUUUCUUUGGCUUGUUUCCUUUCCACCCAGCUUUCCACACUUCCAUCAGCAGGCUCAUGUUCCCAUCACUCCGAUCCCCAGCAAUGCUUUUGAAAUUCAUGUGUGCCACUGAUUUAAGAGCAUAAUGGCCCAGAUAAGCUCUUCCCUGGGUUACAAAUGCCUUCUGCUCAGACACUUCAAACUGGGUGUCGCUCUCCCCUCCCCAUUUCCCAUCUCACCACUUCUGUUGCUGAUUACACAACAGUGUUUUAUUUCUCCAUCAGUCCAUUCAUCAUCUUAAUCAAGAGAUACAAAACAUCAUGGUUAUAUUAAUGUGUCCUACAGAUAGUAUCCAAUAGUAAGGUCUUGGUACCAGUAAAUAUUUUCCUAUGGCCCUUUGCUGGAAAGAAACACAUCUGAGGCCAGCCCUCUUUGGCAGCAGUUAUCAAACAAGGAAAAAGAGAGCAGUGUCUAAAAGGCUAUACACUUUUUUUCUUCUUUUGGAACUGAAUCCAAGAAUAUCCUCUGGAUGGAGCCCUGUGGAAGGGGCACACAGCUGAACCAACACCCUUUAUUGCUCACUCUGAGUAACAUAAUAAACGUGGCUGCACAACAGGCCACUUUCUGCAGCACAUUCUUUGAUCCCUGUGUUCUCCUCCGCUGAUUGCUGCCUUCAAAACUCCUUCAAUUGAUUCAAUUCUUGGCUUGAAUCUUAGCAAAAUACUGUUGGAGUGCACAACAUCAGUAUGGAACUAUCUGCCUCCAGCCCAAAGAGGUCAUCACAACCAACCCUUGCCCCACAAGACAUUUGGGUUUCUCCCCUUUGCCCUCCAACUGCAUCACAGUUGUGCUGCUGAUGCUUUCUGCCUCUGCAGGGUGGAUUUCAGAAGUGCCUAGCGCUUGGGAAAACUGGAAAAGACUGAGAAAAAGACUUUUCAUGAGUAUCAUUUUCCUGUGUGUCUGUAAAUAUUAGUUGUUUCCGCUGUUUUGAUUGCUGUGCUCAUCAUGGCAAGUUCAAGGCAGCCCAGCUGUGCUUCCCUGUAUUUGAAUAACACACAGAAGUAAAAAGCAGGAUGCUUUACAAGAUACUCUGUAGUGUAUAAUGUGUGAUUACACCCAUUUCAGUUGCACUGUCGAUUCAGCAUUGCCUGCAAGACUCUGAGUGGAACUCACCUGGAGAUCUGGUUUCACCCGAAGGAGCUAAAAAUGUUUGCCAGCCACCAUGUUCUGCAGAUGUCACGUACACAGCACCUCCAAACACACCAAAUCACACUUGGAAACAUUGCUUUCUCUGUCUCACUGAUCAAGCACAUGGAAGUGAUACUGCCUGAUGCUCCCAGGCUGCUGGGAGAGCUCAGCACUGCAACGAGGGUUUCUAGAAUUUGACUCUGCUCUAAGAUCAACUUUCCCCUGCAGCUGAACAAACCACUCUCUGCCUUCCUCUCCCUCAGUCUUUCCAUCUGGAAAAAUGAAGACAUUUGCAUCUGUACUGUGGGUGCCUGUGCUGUGCAUAUAAAUCACCAAAUGUUUAUAAAAAUGAUUUGAGGAGAAAAAAGACCUAAAGGAAUGAGGAGCCUGGGUUACACUGAAUUUCAGGAGGAUUUUUCACUUUGGUGACUGUAGCUGUAGGAGGAAGCAGUUUUUUGUAAGAGGAGGUGACUUAGUUUUCCAAUGGGCACAUCACAGCAGCCUGGUAACCUUCCAUGCUUCGACAAAUCUGAAGUUUCUGCCCCUGAAGGAGUCCCCUCUUAACAAAUGCAGUGGCUUCUGCCUGGGAGAAGUCUCAAAACAAGAUCCAACUUGCCUGCAAUUUUUUCCUCCUGAAUAAAAAUUCUCUCCUGGAAAAUGUGA